GAAAUGCAUGGGCGCAGCCUGAUCCAGCCAUGCCGCGUGAGUGAUGAAGGCCCUAGGGUUGUAAAGCUCUUUCGCCAGGGACGAUAAUGACGGUACCUGGAUAAGAAGCCCCGGCUAACUUCGUGCCAGCAGCCGCGGUAAUCGGU
This 146-nucleotide ribosomal RNA is filed under the name uncultured type II methanotroph. RNAcentral's name for it is "partial 16S ribosomal RNA". It matches the Rfam family "Bacterial small subunit ribosomal RNA", at positions 367 to 529 of the family's 1533-position model. Lineage: Bacteria; Pseudomonadati; Pseudomonadota; Alphaproteobacteria; Hyphomicrobiales; Methylocystaceae. The record is from RNAcentral.